CUAAGAUUCCUUUAGUAGCGGCGAGCGAAACAGGAAAAGCCCAGCACUAAGCCCUCCGGUCGUUCUGGCUGGUAGGGGAUGCAGUGUAUGGAAAGUCUAUUAUCUUAUAUAACGAUAAUACGUUCAAGUCCAUCUUGAAUGGGGCUUUUUUACCCAUAGAGGGUGCCAGGCCCGUAGUAGCUAUUAUCAGUAUAAGAAGAUUUUUCCAAAGAGUCGUGUUGCUUGAUAGUGCAGCACUAAGUGGGUGGUAAACUCCAUCUAAGGCUAAAUAUAACCACGAGACCGAUAGCGAACAAGUACCGUGAGGGAAAGUUGAAAAG
Molecule: ribosomal RNA, 320 nt
Filed under: Leia bilineata
Lineage: Eukaryota; Metazoa; Arthropoda; Insecta; Diptera; Mycetophilidae
Description: eukaryotic LSU rRNA
Rfam family: Eukaryotic large subunit ribosomal RNA
Source: RNAcentral